Molecule: transfer RNA, 53 nt
Filed under: Armadillidium vulgare (common pillbug)
Lineage: Eukaryota; Metazoa; Arthropoda; Malacostraca; Isopoda; Armadillidiidae
Description: tRNA-Cys
Source: RNAcentral
GGUUUAUAGUUUCUUAAACUGCAAAUUUAAGCAAGCAAUUAUUGCAAAAACCU